This 31904-nucleotide long non-coding RNA is filed under the name Populus tremula. Its description in RNAcentral is "long non-coding RNA (PTRE_LNC001112)". Lineage: Eukaryota; Viridiplantae; Streptophyta; Magnoliopsida; Malpighiales; Salicaceae. The record is from RNAcentral.
GAAGUGAGGUUAUUAAGGCACUUUGGAAUGAUUCCUGAGAGAUUGUUUAGAGAUAGGUCCAAGAUCAGAAUAUUUGAUAGGUGACAAAGAUUUGGCGGUAUGCUUCCACUGAAUCCAUUAGAUUGUAGGGAAAGGAUUGCAAGAGAUGGCAUGCUUUCUCCUAUCCAGCUUGGUAUUUCUCCUCUCAACUUAUUUGAGCUCAGGUCUAAAAAUACUAGAGAACUACAAUUCCUCAAAGACAAAGGUAAUUCUCCAACAAAGCUAUUAUUGUGCAAACUCAAUGUUUGAAGACUGAGCAUUGAUCCAAUGGAGAUGGGAAUUUUACCUGAAAAGUUGUUGUUGGCCAAGUUCAGAACACCUAGUUUUGUGAAAUUCAUUAAACAAUCAGGAAUCCAUCCCGUCAACAUGUUAUUUGAGAGGUCAAGGAGACCAAAGAUAUCACUACCAAUAUUGCAUGGAAAAGUAGCUGGACCUGAAAACUUAUUGUUAGAUAGAUACAAGUCUAAUAAGGUAUCUGAUGAAAAAAAUGGUAUUGGACCCUCAAACUGGUUGAAACUCAAAUCUAUGUUGUGGAGAUCGGAAUAUUUUGAUGAAAAAUCUGGCAAAAUUCCACUCAUCUUGUUGCGAGAAAGGUCUAAGGAUUCCAAGUUGGAAUUGGACAAGUUCCAAAACCAAUUAGGGAUUGUAUCUGAAAUUCCAGUGUUCGAGAUAUCUAGAUUCACGAAAUUAUUUUGAUUUCGAAGCCAUUGAGGAAAAGAAGGACCCAAAUUACAAGACGAAAGAGAUAUGUCAUGUAAUUGAAAAGUGGGAGCCCAAUUAGACUCAAAUUUCAAAGCUAGAGAGUUAUUAGUUAAAUUCAAUACCGUUAAUUUGGAGAGAUUUGAGAAGUGAGCUUCAGACAUCACACCUUGUAGAGAAUUCCCUCCAACAUGCAAUAUCUCGAGCUGAAAUAGGCUUCCAAUACUUUCAGAAACAUUCCCAUCUAAUCGGUUGUUAUUGAUCCCCAACUCUCUCAAUGAUGAAAGCAUCGCAACAUUCGUAAGUGAUCCAGUGAGUUGGUUGUCAUUCAAGUACAACAAAACAAGUUCAGAACGUUGACUAAAUUGUUCUGGUAAAGAUCCAUUCAGUUGAUUCCAAGAGAGAUCCAGCUCUGUCAUGGAAGUGAAUCUUGUGAUGUCAGGCAAUGAACCAUGAAGUUGAUUUCUGUCUAGUUGUAGAAUCUUUAGUGAGUUCUCAACGCAUCCAAACAACUGAGACAACUCUCCAGCAAGAUUGUUGUAACGUAUAUACAGUUUAUUUAAACUGCACAUACGCCCAAACAAACUCAAAUCACCUUGUAAUUGGUUGAAGGAUAGCUCAAGAGUCCUAAGAGAAGUCAUGUUUGUGAAAGCAUCUGGAAUUGAUCCUUGUAAUUGGUUUAAGGAUAUAUCAAGAGUCCUAAGAGAAGUCAUGUUUGUGAAAGCAUCUGGAAUUAAUCCUUGUAAUUGGUUUAAGGAUAGAUCAAGAGUCCUAAGAGAAGUCAUGUUUGUGAAAGCAUCUGGAAUUGAUCCUUGUAAUUGGUUACAUGAGAGGUCAAGAUCAACAAGGCUGUUACCGAAGUUGGCCAACCAAUAGAAUAUUGAAGAGGAAAGAUCGUUCAAGGAUAAAUCAACGAUAGCAAGAGACUUAGAGGAGUUUACAAGAGAAAGAGAUGGAGAACCGAUAAUUGAAAGGCUACAAGAUCCUAACAACAAUUCAUGUAAGCGAGGGAGCCUGUUAGGCACUUGCAGCCAGUCAAUCGUCUGACUAAGGUUAUUGGAACUCAGGUCAAGAUACUCUAAAGAAGAAAGAUAAGAAAGCCAAUCAAGGUUUUCAGAACUAGUGAUAUCCCAGGAAGACAUAAGAUUAAGAUCAACAAGGUUGUUACUAAAGUUGGAUAACCAAUUAAAUGUUGAAGAAUCAAGAUAGUUGUAAGAGAGAUCAAUGACAGCUAGGGAUUUAGAAGAAUUUGUAGAAGAAAUAGAGGGAAGACUGUUAUUUGAAAGAUCACACUGACUUAACAGCAAGAUUUUUAAGAAAGGAAACUUGUUAACGGUUUGUAUCCAGUCAAUGGCUUGACUAAGACUGUUUCCACUCAAAUCAAGAUACUCAAGAGAAAAAAGGCUGGAGAGGAAGUCAAAACUUGUAAAAUUAACAUCAUCAUUAUAACUGAGAUCUAAAUAUUGUAAUCUUGAAAGAUUCCGAAGCUGAUUUGAAAGAGUUCCAUCAACACCAAUGGAAGAGAGAUCCAGGUAUCUUAGUUCUUUUAGAAAACCAAUGAAAUAUGGAAAAGAAUUCCCUUUAAAAUUGAUUCCAUUUAGAUUCAGGUAACUCAAAUGUUGCAACUCCACUAAUGAAUUACUGAUCUUACCACUUAAAUAUGACCAGUACUUCUCUUGGUGAAGAUCAAGAUGAGUAACAUGACCAGUACGAUUGUUGCAUCCAACUCCUCUCCAUUUGCAGCAAUCCCUCUUCUCUUCUUCACUUCCCCAGGUUGAAAGAAAACCAGAGUCAUCAAUAAGGCCAUCUUUAAACUUGAGAAGGGCUUGUCUCUCCCUCUCUAUGCACCCGAAAGUUGCCCCUUUCACUCCAGAAAUGAACCCAGGUGCAAGUUUCAUGAGCAACAGAAGCACAAUAAGCACAUAAAGAAGAUGAAACGACUUGUCGUGCUUUAUCAGCAGCAUGAUCACAAAAAAAGAUAAUAUUGAAGUGGGUAUGGAAGUAAUAGUUGAGAGCAAUGAGAAUUUGGUGGGUAAUUUAACUUUGAAUAUCCAUUCACUUCACCACUUCCCUAUAUAUAAUAUUAAAAACACUACAAGAAAAUUUAAAAUUAAGUCAUUAAUUAUAUAAGUCAAGGUAGAUGGAUAUAAUUUCUCUUAAAAAAAAUUAUUUUAUAAUACUUAAAGUGUAACUAAUAAUACUUCCAUAAACAUAAAGGAAUGAGAGAUAAUAAAAAAAAAUUAAACUUUUUUUUGUUAUCUCUCUCUCUCUUGUCGUAUCUCUCGUGUAUUACAAGUUGUGGUAUAAUUUAAACAUCAUAGCAGAAAAAAAAAUUAAAAAAAAAAAAGAUUUAUUGACCAAAGCAGAGAAAGGAUUAAAAACUUGAGGGAGCUAGAAUGAAAAAAUGGUCAUGGAUAUUGAUUUGACUGUUGAUGAUGCUGAUUUGAGAUAGUCAUAAUGAUGGUGAUUUAAAAUACAUUAAAAUAAGUUUUUUUAAAAAGAAAAAUGCCUUAGCUUCCUAUUCAUUUCCAUUGACAUUUAAGAAGAUUUGCACUUUCACGUGAAAUUAUUAUUUUAAUAUAUUUUUUAAUAAAACAUAAUUUCCAAUUUACUACUAAACAUCAUUUAAUUAUGCAUGCCUCUCAUGCUUUUGGACAAAAACUCUUCAUGAGAUGUAUAUGCAAAAACUAUUUACUGUUUCUCUAAAUUUCUUCCGACAAUUACUUGUGCGUGUCUCUUAGUUCUAGAAAAAGAUUUCCAAGUUAUCAGUGUGUUAAAAAAAAUGUCUUCCUGAAUGGAAAUUAUUGUCUGGGCAGACCUGCACUUGGAGAGGGAUCUUGGGAAGGCCAUGGAGAUUGCUUCAAAGUUUGUCAAAGAGAGGGUGGCGAAUAAGAAAGUGACAAGUGAUUCGAGAAAGGAUUUCUUAGAUGUUCUGCUUGAGUUCAGAGGCAGUGGAAAAGAUGCGCCUCAUAAACUUUCAGAACGGCACCUCAACAUUUUUACACUGGUAAUUCUCUAGUUUUACCAUAACUUCCAUUUAUUUUCUUUGUAGAUGAAGUUGGAUAAACACUAUAAGAAAAUUUAAAAUUAAGUCAUUAAUUGUAUAAGCCAAGGUCGAUGGAUAUAAUUUCUUUUAUUUUUUAUUAUUUUAUAAUACUUAAAGUGUAACUAAUAAUACUUCCAUAAACACAAAGGAAAGAGAGAUAAUCAAAAACAUGGUUCAGAUGCCUUAUUUAAUUUAAUAUGUUGUUUCCAUAAAUAUAUAUAUAUAUAUAUAUAUAUAUAUAUAUAUAUAUAUAUAUAUAUGGAUAUAUUUUUUUUUUGAGUUUCAAAAGUAUUUUUAAAAACAUAUUUUUUUAUUUUAAAUUAUUUUUUUUUCUUUCAAAAUAUUUUAAUAUGUUAAUGUUAAAAUUAAUUUUAAAAAUAAAAAAUAUUAUUUUAAUAUAUUUUUAAAUAAAAAUACAUUAAAUAAAUAAAUAAAAAAAACUCAACAACACUGCCAAACUUUGUGCUCCAUACUUUUGGGCAAAGACUUUUCAAUUUUUGGUGUAUUUAAGAAGAUGGCACGUGGCCUUAAUUUUUUUUUAUUUGGAUAUAUUUGUUUUUGUCUUUUAUAAGUAUUUUUAAAGAAAUUAAAUUUUUUUUUGCUUUAAAUUUAUUUUUUUUUCUUUGUGCUUUUAGAUUAUUUUAAUAUACUAAUUUCAAAAAUAAUUUUAAAAACAUAAAAAAAAAAAAAUUAAUAUAUUUUUAAAUAAAAAAUAUUUUAAAAAAUAAUUAUGUGUGGCCCAUACUUUUGGGCAUAGACUUUUCAGGUCUUCAGUGUGAUUAAAUAGAUGUCAUGUGGAAAAAACCAAAAAACAUAUACUGCUUCCCUAAUUUUUUUUAUUUUAAUAUAUUUGUUUUUGUGUUUUAAAAGUAUUUUAAAAAUAAUUAAAUUUGUUUUUUUUCUUUAAAUUAAUUUUUUAUUUGUGCUUUUAGAUUAUUUUAAUGUACCAAUAUUAAAAAUAAUUUUUAAAAAAUUAAAAAAAUAUUAUUUUAACACUUUUCUAAACAAAAAAAUAUUUUAACAAAUAAUCUAUACCACAUUAUUAAACAUCCUGGAAUUGCGCAUGUCUCAUACUUUUGGGCAAAGACUUUUCAAGUCUUCAAUGGGUUUAAGAAGAUGUCAUGUGAAAAAAGCAAAAUUCAUUUACUAUUUUUUUUAUUUGGAUAUUUUUAUUUUUAUGUUUUAAAAAUAUUUUUUAAAAAAUUUUAAAAACUUUCCUUGCUUUAAAUUAAUUUUUUUUCUUUAUGCUUUUAGAUCAUUUUAAUGUACUAAUAUUAAAAAUAAUUUUUAAAAAAAUAUAUAUUAUUUUAAUACAUUUCUAUAUAAAAAAAUAUUUUAAAAUAUAAUUUUUACUAUAUUAUUAAACAUCCUAGAAGGAAUUGUGCGUGACCUAUACUUUUGGAUAAAGGCUUUUCAAGUCUUCUGUGUGGUUAAGAAAAUGCCUUGUGGAAUAAAUAAUUUCAAUGGUUGAGAUGCCUUAUUUAUUUAACUAGUGGUCUAUAGCCUUAACCUCAGCAAAAACUAUUUACUGUUUUUUCUAAAUUUCUUCUUUAUUUUGAUAUAUUUGUUUUUGUGUUACUUCUGCGUGCCCCUUGCUUCUGGAAAAAGACUUCCAAGUCAUUAAUAUAUUUUUAAAAAAUGUCUUCCUGAAAGAAAUUAUUAAGAGCUUCAAGUCUUCGUCAAAGUCAUCAAUAACCCACACGUUUUCCCUUUUCUUUAUUUGAUAGACAUUCUCUCCCGCAUCAAGUACUUAUGGUCUGGAGAGAGACAUUAUAGCAAGUUCAAAAUUAUUAUUUUUUCUUAUUUUUAUUUCUGUUUAAUUUAAAAAUAUAUUUUAAUUUUUUCUAUUUAAUUAGUUUAUAAAUUAUUUAGUUUAUACACGUCUUCUAACCUUGUAGGCAAAAACCAUUUAUUAUUUCUCUAAAUUUCCUUGGACAUUUGCUAUACUGGGUGCCCAUUAUUUGUUAGCAAAGACUUUUCAAGUCAUUAGUGUUUAAGGAGAUAUCACUUUGAAAAUUUUAUUUCAAUGGUUUAGAUACUUUAUAUUUAUCUUAUUAUGUUGUGCAUAAAAAAAAUUUAUUUCAAUAUAUUUAUUUGAGUUUCAAAAAUAUUUUUUAUAAAAAUUAAAAUUAUCAGUGGUCUCUCCCCCAACAGUUUGGUGUGCAAUAUCUCCAUGGGAAAUGUUCAUAAAAUUAAGUCAAAGUUGUUGGAUAAAAUUAGAUGGAUAUAUGUAAGAAAGUUUUCACUUAAUUUCUUUUUAAUUCUCACUCUUCUGUCUUUAUUAUUUGUGUAUAUCUCUCAUAUAUUACAAGUAAUGGUAUAAUUCAAACAUCAUAGCAGGAAAAAAAAAGAUUUAUUGACCAAAGCAGAAAGGAUUAAAAACUCGAGGGAGCUAGACUGAAAAAAUGAUCAUGGAUAUUGAUUCGAGUGUUGAUGAAAAGUAGAAGAUGCUACCGCGCUCUACAAGUCUCCUUUAGCACAUUAGUAAUUUUAGGAGAAAAGAAAACAUCUGGACAAAGUGAUGGUGUUCUUCAUCCAGCAUGUCGGCUUCAUAAGAGAUUGGUGAAGGAAAUCAAUGGAUUGAGAUUUGAUUGACAUUGAAAGGUUCAAUUGCAAGAAUGAGAUGAGAGAGGCUAAAGGAAAAUGAAAAAUUGGGAUGAGCUUUUGGGAUAAACAGAAAUUCUUUAUUAUUAUUAUUAUCUGUUUAAGACAACAGGUUAAGAUAUGACACGUGAAAAAAAAUAAUUUUAAUGGUUCAGAUGUCUUAUUUAUCUUAUUAUGUGUUCUAUAACCUUAACCUAUAGGCAAAAACCAUCUAUUGUCUUCCUAAAAAAAAAUUAAAUUUUUUUUUUAUUUCAAAUUAAUUUUUUUAAUUUUUCUUUGAUGCUUCUGUGUUAAUAUCAAAACUACUAAUCACCCUUUAAUUUCAAGAUCAUUAUGUCUAAGAAGAUGCCUCAGCUUCCUAGUCAUUUCCAUUUUCAGGGGGUAUAAAUGUUUCCGGAUCUUUUCAAAACAUUACAAGUUUCAAGACAGAGAGUAUGUACAACUACACGUUUGUAGCAAGAAGAAAUGAAAUCUCCUGAGUCCAAACCCAAUUCUUAUCGGUCAUAUGGGUCUAACACCCCAUUCUUUUAACGGCCUUGAUAAAAUCUCUAUUUAUAGGGAUAAGAGUCAUUUUUUAUACGUCUUUAAAAAAAAAAAAUGAUAUUCAGAUUUUAAAAUUAAAUAUGAGUUACGUCUACUUUUAACAAUUUUGAUGAAAUUUUCUUUUUUAAGCGGAGGGUGUGGUCACUCUUGUCCAUACUUUUAAAAUCCGGACCGGUCUGGCGGGUCGAUACGGGACCCAGUCAAACCCGCGUGAAACCCGGUCUAUUUUUUAUAUAUAUUAGCAGCCAUUAAACAAUUUUGUUUUGGAUUUUUAAAAGGCCAAAACGCUGAAGAAAAAUAAAAUAUAAUUGGGGACAGAUGAAAACCUAAUUAAUAAAAGACAAAAAUUAAUUUGAAUUAACGAAAUAAAAAUUGAGGAGCAGAAGACAUCUUGACUCUUGAUCAUUGUUGUUUAUUUGCCAACAAGGUUUGAAUCUUCUUCUUUCACUCUCUUUUCUUUAUUCUUGACCCUUUUUUGAGUGAUAAUUAUUGAAACAAAGGUUUGAAAUUUGAUCAUAGAAGCGUGUGGAUGGAAAACAGGUGGUCAAAAUGGACAACUAAUCAAGGGCUCAAAAGCUUCCGCAUCUUAGGUUUUAUCCUUCAUCACAAUCACGAGAGUCUGGUUUCAGCAAGAGGUCCCAACUUCUGGUCCACCCCAUGAGCUUUGCCAACCAAGCACGUAUAGCUUCACAUGAUGCACCAUAGGCUCCUUGCCAUGAGCAGAUAAGUAACAAAUGAAAAUGCCCUUUCCACCUCUCUCUGAAUAUAUUUGAUCACAGUUGCCAUAAUUAUUUCUCCAUCGGUUAAUGGCAAUGGCAAUCGAUGAUGACAACAAACAAAGAAACUGCAGGAAAAUAAUGGUGUUAAGCUUAUUGGUCAGAGAAAUUGUAUAAUUUUUUCAGAUUUUAUUUUGGGUUAACCCGGGUUAACCCAUCUGACCCGUGACCCGCUCACUUGACCGGGUCAGAUUUUAAAACUAUACUCUUGUCACUUUUGAUGGUCUUCUAAGAUCUCAUCAAGUUCAUCUAGUUUAUAUCUUUUCUAUGGUAAUUGGUAUGUCGGAAACAGAGCUUCAGUUUGUCCUCAGCUACUCUUUCUUUCUCUCUCCUUUUCUUCUCUCUCCCCUCUGAGCAACGCCAGCUUUGCUUUGGAGAGAAAAUGUGCAGAAUAGGGCAGGGAAUGGAAUAAAAUGAUGCAUGGUGUGGGUGAGGUGUUUUUUCUGUUUCAGUUUCUAUUUCACACUGAUGUUUUUUUUAUACACGCACCAUCAAUAGGCAGUUCCGGCCGUGAACAAAAAGAAUAAAAUGCAAAUCUCAGGAGGUUAGCUUUACUUUAAAUUAAUUUUUUUUUAGUAUUUUUAGAUUAUUUUAAUGUAUUAAUAUCAAAAAUAAUUUUUAAAAAAUAAAAAAAUAUAUUUUAGUUUUUUCUUUGUGUUUUUAUAUCAUUUUAAUGUAUCAAUAUCAAAAAUAAUUUUUUAAAAAAUUAAAAAUAUUAUUUUAAUAUAUUUCUAAAUAAAAAAAUAUAUGAUCUCUACCACACUAUUAAAUAUCAUGGAAUUGUGCAUGCCCCAUACUUUUGGGCAAAGACUUUUCAAGUCUUCAAUGUGUUUAAGAAGAUGUCAUAUGCAAAAAACCAAAAACCAAAAAUCAUUUACUAUUUUUUUAAUUUUUUUAUUCGGAUAUAUUUGUUUUUCUGUUUUAAAAGUAUUUUUUAAAAAAAAUAAAAUGUGUUCUUUGCUUUAAAUUAGUUUUUUCUUUGUGCUUUUAGAUCAUUUUAAUGUACCAAUAUCAAAAAUAAUUUUUAAAAAAAUUAAAAAUAUUAUGUUAAAAUAUUUCUAAAUAAAAAAAUAUUUUAACAAAUAAUCUACACCACAUUAUUAAAUAUCAUGGAAUUGUAUGUGCCCCAUACUUUUGGGCAAGACUUUUCAAGUCUUCAAUGUGUUUAAGAAGAUGUCAUGUGGAAAACACAAAAAACCAAAAACCAAAAACCAUUUACUAUUUUUUUAAUUUUUUUAUUUGGAUAUAUUUAUUUUUGUGUUUUAAAAGUAUUUAAAAAAAACAUUUCUUUGCUUUAAAUUAGUUUUUUCUUUGUGGUUUUAGAUCAUUUUAAAGUACCAAUAUCAAAAAUAUUUUUUUUAAAAUUAAAAAUAUUAUUUUAAUAUAUUUCUAAAUAAAAAUAAAUAUUUUAACAAAUAAUCUCUACCACACUAUUAAAUAUCAUGGAAUUGUGUGUGCCCCAUAUUUUUGAGCAAAGACUUUUCAAGUCUUCAAUGUGUUUAAGAAGAUGUCAUAUGGAAAAAACUAAAAACCAAAAACCAUUUACUAUUUUUAAAAUUGUUUAUUUGGAUAUAUUUGUUUUUGUGUUUUAAAAGUAUUUUAAAAAAAAUUAAAUUUUGUUUCUUUACUUUAAAUUAGUUUUUUCUUUGUGUUUUUAGAUCAUUUUAAUGUACCAAUAUAAAAAAAAAAGGUUUUUAAAAAAUAAAAAAAUUAUUUAAAUAUAUUUCUAUAAAAAAAAAUAUUUUAACAAAUAAUCUUUGCCACACUAUUAAAUAUCAUCGAAUUGUGCGUGCCCAAUACUUUUAGGCAAAGACAUUUCAAGUAUUCAAUUUGUUUAAAAAGAUGUCAUAUGGAAAAAACUAAAAACCAAAAACCAUUUACUAUUUUAAAAAUUAUUUAUUUGGAUAUAUUUGUUUUUGAGUUUUAAAAGUAUUUUUUAAAAAAUUAAAAUUUGUAGCUUUGCUUUAAAUUAGUUUUUUCUUUGUGCUUUUAGAUCAUUUUAAUGUACCAAUAUCAAAAAUAAUUUUUAAAAAAAUAAAAAUAUUAUUUAAUUAUAUUUCUAAAUAAAAAAAUAUUUUAACAAAUAAUGUCUACCACACCAUUAAAUAUCAUGGAAUUGUGCGUGCCCAAUACUUUUGGGUUAAGAACAUGUCAUGGGGAAAAAACCAAAAACCAUUUACUAUUUUUUUAAUUUGGAUAUAUUUGUUUUUUUGUUUUAAAAGUAUUUUUAAAAAAAUUAAAUUUUGUUUCUUUGCUUUAAAUUAGUUUUUUCUUUUUGCUUUUAGAUCAUUUUAAUGUACCAAUAUCAAAAAUAAUUUUAAAAAAAUAAAAAAAUUAUUUAAAUAUAUUUCUAAAUAAAAAAAAAUUUUAACAAAUAAUAUCUACAACACUAUUAAAUAUAAUGGAAUUGUGCAUGCCCCAUACUUUUGGGCAAAGACUUUUCAAGUCUUCAAUUGUGUUUAAGAAGAUGUCAUGUGGAAAAAACAAAAAACCAAAAAUCAUUUCCUAUUUUUUUAAUUUGGAUAUAUUUGUUUUUGUGUUGUAAAAGUAUUUAAAAAAAAAAUUAAUUUUUUUUUUGCUCGAAAUUAGUUUUUGUUUUGUGCUUUUAGAUUAUUUUAAUGUACCAAAAUCAAAAAUAAUUUUUUUUAAAUUAAAAAUAUUAUUUGAAAAUAUUUCUAAAUAAAAAAAAAAUUUAAACAAAUAAUCUCAACCACACUAUUAAAUAUCAUGGAAUUGUGCGUGCCCCGUACAUUUGGGCAAAGACUUUUCAAGACUUCAAUGGUUUUAAGAAAAUAUCAUGUGGAAAAAACCAAAAACCAUUUACAAUUUUUUUAAUUGUUUUAUUUGGAUAUAUUUGUUUUUGUGUUUUAAAAGUAUUUUAAAAAAAAUUAAUUUUUUUUCUUUGCUUUAAAUUAAUUUUUUCUUUGUGCUUUUAGAUUAUUUUAAUGUACCAAUAACAAAAAUAUUUUUUUUAAAAAAAAAAAAUUCUUUAAAUAUAUUUCUAAAUAAAAUUUUUUUUUUUACAAAUAAUCUGUACCACACUAUUAAAUAUCAUGGAAUUGUGUGUGCCCCAUACUUUCGGGCAAAGACUUUUCAAGUCUUGAAUGUGUCUAAGAAGAUGUCAUGUGGAAACAACUAAAAAUCAAAAACCAUUUACUAUUUUUAAGUUUUUUUUAUUUGGAUAUAUUUUUUUUUGUGUUUUAAAAGUAUUUUAAAAAAUAUUAAUUUUUUUUUCUUUGCUUGAAAUUAGUUUUUUCUUUGUGCUUUUAGAUUAUUUUAAUGUACCAAAAUCAAAAAUAAUUUUUUUAAAAUUAAAAAUAUUAUUUUAAUAUAUUUCCAAAUAAAACAAUAUUUUAACAAAUAAUCUCUACCACACUAUUAAAUAUCAUGGAAUUGUGUGUGCCCCAAACAUUUGGGCAAAGACGUUUCAAGUCUUCAAUGUUUUUAAGAAGAUGUCAUGUGGAAAAAACCAAAAACCAUUUACUAUUUUUUUAAUUUUUUUAUUUGGAUAUAUUUGUUUUUCUGUUUUAAAAGUAUUUUAAAAAAUAUUAAUUUUUUUUCUUUGCUUGAAAUUAGUUUUUUCUUUGUGCUUUUAGAUUAUUUUAAUGUACCAAUAUCAAAAAUAAUUUUCUUAAAAUUAAAAAUAAUAUUUAAUAUAUUUUUAAAUAAAAAAAAUAUUUUAACAAAUAAUCUGUACCACACUAUUAAAUAUCAUGGAAUUGUGCGUGCCCCAUACAUUUGGGUAAAGACUUUUCAAGUCUUCAAUGUUCUUAAGAAGAUGUCAUGUGGAAAAAAUUCAAAAACCAAAAUCUUUUACUAUUUUUUUUAAUUUUUUUAUUUAGAUAUAUUUGUUUUUGUGUUUUAAAAGUAUUUUUAAAAACAUUAAUUUUUUUUUCUUGAAAUUAGUUUUUUCUUUGUGCUUUUAGAUUAUUUUAAUGUUCCAAUAUCAAAGUAACGUUUUUAAAAAAUUAAAAAUAUUAUUUUAAUAUAUUUUUAAAUAAAAAAAUAUUUUUACAAAUAAUCUCUACCACACUAAUAAAUAUCAUGGAAUUGUGAGUGCCCAAUACUUUUGGGCAAAGACUUUUCAAGUCUUCAAUGUGUUUAAGAAGAUGUCAUGUGGAAAAAACCAAAAAUAAAAAAUAAAAAACUAUUUACUAUUUUUUUAAUAUGAUAUUUUUGUUUUUGUGUUUUAAAAGUAUUUUUAAAAAAAUUAAAAAAAAUUUCUUAGCUUUAAGUUAGUUUUUUCUUUGUGCUUUUAGAUCAUUUUAAUGUACCAAUAUCAAAAAUAAGUUUUUUUAAAAUUAAAAAUAUUAUUUUAAUAUAUUUCUAAAUAAAAAAUAUAUAUAAUCUCUACCACACAAUUAAAUAUCAUGGAAUUGUGCGUGCCCCAUACUUUUGGGCAAAGACUUUCCAAGUCUUCAAUGUGAUUUAGAAGAUGUCAUGUGGAAAAAACCAAAACCCAAAAACAAUUUACUAUUUUUUAAUUGUUUUAUUUGAAUAUAUUAGUUUUUCUCUUUUAAGAGUAUUUUAAAAAAAAUUUAAUUUUUUUUCUUUGCUUGAAAUUGGUUUUUUCUUUGUGCUUUUACAUUAUUUUAAUGUACCAAUAUAAAAAAUAAUGUUUUUUAAAUUAAAACUAUUAUUGUAAUAUAUUUCUAAAUAUAAAAAAUAUUUUAACAAAUAAUCUCUACCACACUAUUAAAUAUCAUGGAAUUGUGCGUGCCCCAUACGUUUGGGCAAAGACUUUUCAAGUCUUCAAUGUGUUUAAGAAGAUGUCAUGUGGAAAAAACCAAAAACCAAAAAUAAUUUACUAUUUUUUUAAUUGUUUUAUUUGAAUAUAUUUGUUUUUAUGUUUUAAGAGUAUUUUAAAAAAACUUAACUUUUUUUCUUUGCUUGAAAUUGGUUUUUCUUUGUGCUUUUAGAUUAUUUUAAUGUACCAAUAUCAAAAAUAAUUUUUUUAAAAUUAAAAAUAUUAUUGUAAUAUAUUUCUAAAUAUAAAAAAUAUUUUAACAAAUAAUCUCGACCACACUAUUAAACAUUAUGGAAUUGUGCGUGCCCCAUACUUUUGGGCAAAGACUUUUCAAGUUUUCAAUGUGUUUUAGAAGAUGUCAUGUGGAAAAAACCAAUAACCAAAAACAAUUUACUAUUUUUUAAUUGUUUUCUUUGAAUAUAUUUGUUUUUAUGUUUUGAGAGUAUUUUAAAAAAAAAAUAAAAUUAUUUGCUUGAAAUUGGUUUUUUCUUUGUGCUUUUAGAUUAUUUUAAUGUACCAAUAUCAAAAAUAAUUUUUUAAAAGAAUAAAAAAUUUAUUUAAAUAUAUUUCUAAAUAAAUGUUUUUUUUAUAAAUAAUCUCUACCACACUAUUAAAUAUCAUGGAAUUGUGUGUGCCCCAUACUUUUAGGCAAAGACUUUUUAAGUCUUGAAUGUGUCUAAGAGGAUGUCAUGUGGAAAUAACUAAAAAUCAAAAACCAUUUACUAUUUUUAAUUUUUUUUUUAUUUGGAUAUAUUUUUUUUGUGUUUUAAAAGUAUUUUAAAAAAAAUUAAUUUUUUUUCUUUGCUUGAAAUUAGUUUUUUCUUUGUGCUUUUAGAUUAUUUUAAUGUACCAAAAUCAAAAAUAAUUUGUUUUAAAUUAAAAAUAAAAUUUUAAUAUAUUUCCAAAUAAAAAAAAAAUUCAACAAAUAAUCUCUACCACACUAUUAAAUAUCAUGGAAUUGUGCGUACCCCAUACAUUUGGGCAAAGACGUUUCAAGUCUUCAAUGUUUUUAAGAAGAUGUCAUGCGGAAAAAACCAAAAACCAUUUACUAUUUUUUUAAUUUUUUAAUUUGGAUAUAUUUGUUUUUCUGUUUUAAAAGUAUAUUUAAAAAAAGAUUAAUUUUUUUUUCUUUGCUUGAAAUUAGUUUUUUCUUUGUGCUUUUAGAUUAUUUUAAUGUACCAAUAUCGAAAAUAAUUUUCUUAAAAUUAAAAAUAAUUUUUAAUGUAUUUCUAAAAAAACAAAUAUUUUAACAAAUAAUCUGUACCACACUAUUAAAUAUCUUGGAAUUGUGCGUGCCCCAUACAUUUGGGUAAAGACUUUUCAAGUCUUCAAUGUUCUUAAAAAGAUGUCAUGUGGAAAAAACCAAAAACCAAAAUCAAUUACUAUUUUUUUUAAUUUUUUAAUUUUGAUAUAUUUGUUUUUGUGUUUUAAAAGUAUUUUUAAAAACAUUAAUUUUUUUUUCUUGAAAUUUGUUUUUUCUUUGUGCUUUUAGAUUAUUUUAAUGUUCCAAUAUAAAAAAAACUUUUUUAAAAAAUUAAAAAUAUUAUUUUAAUAUAUUUCUAAAUAAAAAAAUAUUUUAACAAAUAAUCUCUACCACACUAUUAAAUAUCAUAGAAUUGUGCGUGCCCCAUACUUUUGGGCAAAGACUUUUCAAGUCUUGAAUGUGUCUAAAAAGAUGUCAUCCGGAAAAAACUAAAAACCAAAAACCAAAAACCAUUUACUAUUUUUAAAAAAUUUUAUUUGGAUAUAUUUGUUUUUUUAUUUUAAAAGUAUUUUUUAAAUAAAUUAAUUUUGUUUCGUUGCUUUAAAUUAGUUUUUUAUUUGUGCUUUUAGAUCAUUUUAAUGUACCAAUAUCAAAAAUAAUUUUUUUAAGAAUAAAAAAAUUAUUUAAUUUUAUUUCUAAAUAAUUUUUUUUUUUACAAAUAAUCUGUACCACACUAUUAAAUAUCAUGGAAUUGUGUGUGCCCCAUACUUUUGGGCAAAGACUUUUCAAGUCUUGAAUGUGUCUAAGAAUAUGUCAUGUGGAAAAAACAAAAAAUCAAAAACCAUUUACUAUUUUUAAGUUUUUUUUAUUUGGAUAUAUUUUUUUUGUGUUUUAAAAGUAUUUUAAAAAAUAUUAAUUUUUUUUUCUUUGCUUGAAAUUAGUUUUUUCUUUGUGCUUUUAGAUUAUUUUAAUGUACCAAAAUCAAAAAUAAUUUUUUUAAAAUUAAAAAUAUUAUUUUAAUAUAUUUCCAAAUAAAAAAAAUAUUUUAACAAAUAAUCUCUACCACACUAUUAAAUAUCAUGGAAUUGUGUGUGCCCCAUACAUUUGGGCAAAGACGUUUCAAGUCUUCAAUGUUUUUAAGAAGAUGUCAUGUGGAAAAAACCAAAAACCAUUUACUAUUUUUUUAAUUUUUUUAUUUGGAUAUAUUUGUUUUUCUGUUUUAAAAGUAUUUUAAAAAAUAUUAAUUUUUUUUCUUUGCUUGAAAUUAGUUUUUUCUUUGUGCUUUAGAUUAUUUUAUUGUACCAAUAUCAAAAAUAAUUUUUCUUAAAAUUAAAAUAAUAUUUAAUAUUUUUAAAUAAAAAAAUAUUUUAACAAAUAAUCUGUACCACACUAUUAAAUAUCAUGGAAUUGUGCGUGCCCCAUACAUUUGGGUAAAGACUUUUCAAGUCUUCAAUGUUCUUAACAAGAUGUCAUGUGGAAAAAAUUCAAAAACCAAAAUCUUUUACUAUUUUUUUUUAUGUUUUUAGGAUAUAUUUGUUUUUGUGUUUUAAAAGUAUUUUUAAAACAUUAAUUUGUUUUUCUUGAAAUUAGUUUUUUCUUUGUGCUUUUAGAUUAUUUUAAUGUUCCAAUAUCAAGUAACGUUUUUAAAAAAUUUAAAAUAUUAUUUUAAUAUAUUUUUAAAUUUAAAAAUAUUUUUACAAAUAAUCUCUACCACACUAAUAAAUAUCAUGGAAUUGUGAGUGCCCAAUACUUUUGGGCAAAGACUUUUCAAGUCUUCAAUGUGUUUAAGAAGAUGUCAUGUGGAAAAAACCAAAAAUCAAAAAUAAAAAACCAUUUACUAUUUUUUUAAUAUGAUAUUUUUGUUUUUGUGUUUUAAAAGUAUUUUAAAAAAAAUUAAAAAAAAUUUCUUAGCUUUAAGUUAGUUUUUUCUUUGUGCUUUUAGAUCAUUUUAAUGUACCAAUAUCAAAAAUAAGUUUUUUUAAAAUUAAAAAUAUUAUUUUAAUAUAUUUCUAAAUAAAACAAAUAUAUAAUCUCUACCACACAAUUAAAUAUCAUGGAAUUGUGCGUGCCCCAUACUUUUGGGCAAAGACUUUUUAAGUCUUGAAUGUGUCUAAGAGGAUGUCAUGUGGAAAUAACUAAAAAUCAAAAACCUUUUACUAUUUUUAAAUUUUUUUUUAUUUGGAUAUAUUUUUUUUUGUGUUUUAAAAGUAUUUUAAAAAAAUUUAAUUUUUUUUUCUUUGCUUGAAAUUAGUUUUUUCUUUGUGCUUUUAGAUUAUUUUAAUGUACCAAAAUCAAAAAUAAUUUUUUUAAAAUUAAAAAUAAUAUUUUAAUAUAUUUCCAAAUAAAAAAAAAUUUAACAAAUAAUCUCUACCACACUAUUAAAUAUCAUGGAAUUGUGCGUGCCCCAUACAUUUGGGCAAAGACGUUUCAAGUCUUCAAUGUUUUUAAGAAGAUGUCAUGUGGAAAAAACCAAAAACCAUUUACUAUUUUUUUAAUUUUUUAAUUUGGAUAUAUUUGUUUUUCUGUUUUAAAAGUAUUUUUAAAAAUAUUAAUUUGUUUGGUCACCUCAUGUCAUUUUCAAGCAUAGAGUCAUUUCUGUAAUCAAAACACUUUUAAUCUUUCGGAUUGAUUAACCUUUAUCGCAUGUUGGAGUUUGAUCAAAAUAUUUUGUCGGGAUAAAAUGCUAAACAUCUGUUGAUUUCAAAACAACAAAUAGACAAAAGCAAGGCAUGUUUCGUUGAAGGAUGAGAGGUGAUCCCAAAACAAAAUGCAAAAUUCCAAAACAAUAUGAUUGACUGUUCAUCACCAUUCUUGAAUCAGCUUUUCUGGCAAUAUUUGCGUUUUGUCAAGCACUUUCGAUCAACAUGUCAUUCUAAAAAUGUUCGGGGGGCAAUAUAGCCAAUGACACCCUCCUUCACUGACUCCAUUUGUCUCUUGCUCACCAACUUUCAAACUCAAUUCUUGAAAUUCUUGAAAUUGCUCCAUUGAAAUGGUUGAGGACCCCAUCAUGACAUCACAUCUCUUGUCUGGAUUAAACCACCCAGAAAAUGGUGGUUGCAUAGGAUUUGUCGGAGUCAAGCAAAAUUCUGUAAUCUGGCAGAUGCUGGUCGACAAACUUAAAUGGCAGAGGAAUGUCCCAUCUUGGCAAAGAUAUUUGAGCAAUUGAUGCUAAUUAAGGGCUCACACCGUCAAAGUCAUCUCCUGAUUCACCUCUCAUCAUUGUUCUAGAAUCCAUGGCAGAUCCUUCAAUCUUUCUUCUCUUCAUAGCUUGUUCAAUUCUUCGGCAAAUCCUCACAACAUUAUUUCAAUCUUCCAAUGUUGCUAUGGUUGGUUGAGGAUUGUUAGAAAACUUUCUAACAGCUUGGUAAUCUUGGCAGCGCCCAGAAACUUGUAGUAUCGCCACUACGACGUGUGGAAUCACACAUUGUCUCUAUUGGAAGAGCACCUGAUGAAUCUAAAACUCCUUUGUCCCCUCUUCGAUUUCUCACUGACAGUGCAGCAAACAAACACCUAUAGAGGAAGUCCUGCUCUGUUGAAGUUUCAGUAUUCUUCAUGUUUUUCAGUCUAGGCAUGUCUCUUUCUCUACUUUUGCGUUUUAAUACUGACACUGGAGGAAAAUCAUAGAUGACCUGAAACUACUGUAUUCCUUCUUGGACUUCCCACUUGCGGAUCCACAAACAGAUUCCUGCUGAGUGAGCUUGCUACGUUGAAGUUUGAUGUCUGCUCAUAUUUUUCAGACCAGGUCUGGCUCUUCAACCUACUAAGAGGUCUUCGUGCUGAAACUGAUGAGAGAAAUAUUUGUAGCAUAUGCAACUUAUAAAUCCCCUCUUGCUUCCCAAUUUGCAGAGCCAUAAAUUGAUUUUUGUAGAGAGAGCUCUGCCACAUUGAAGUUCAGUGUUCAAUCAUGGUUUUUCAGACCAUCUUGUGCUGCUGAACUGGAAUUGAGCUCGUAAUCGGGGUAACUUCAAAGCAGAUUAAUGCACCAUGUACAGGAGACUAGUGGUCGUUUGGUUCCAUUAAAUGAUGUGGAGGCGAUGAACACUUAACAAUGCAACUGGACAAGAAUCAGAGUUGUCAUUAGUUGAUGACUGAAGGCGUUGUUGCUGUUGUUCAUGAUGAAAAAGGAGAGAUACAGCUUCAAUUAGAUGUGAACAAGCAGUGUUCCCACAGAAAACUGUGCAGACAUUCUCUUUCCAUUUGAUGCUCAACACUUGUUCGAGCAGAUCUGAGUCUAGCUACUUCACAUUUAACGCUCUCCACCUUAAUAUGAUAAUGAGCCUCUAUCUGACACAUUUCUUCACCUCCAUCACGUGCAGCACAGCUUGUGUGGGGGACCUACCUUUCAGCCCGGUACAUGCAUGAUAAAUGUAUGAACAUGUAAUCUAUAUGAUGAACUCGCCCUUCGAGAGGUGACAAUAUGGUCGUAACUCUUGUAUGAUGGAACAAGAAUUGUGAUUUUUGCCCAAACUCUACAAUGAAAAUUUUCGGAGACGGCCAAUGUGUCACCCACAAGUCUUGAGUUCAAGAUGCUUCAAGAAGGGUUUGCCCUUAUGCAAAAACGAUAGCACAUACAACCUAAGGACAGGUUCUAUUCAUUAUGUGAACAUGGGUAGGUUUUCUAUCUGGUCUCAAAAGGGUCUCAUAUCUGCCCAGUGACGUUCUUCGUAAAGACAGUAUGGGGGCGUUGCAAGGAAUGGUUAAGGCACGUAUACCCACCAUUACCAAGCAGGCACUCAGAUAUGAGUUGGGUGUUUCACGCAUCUGAACCCUGACCAAUAGUCUUAGGGCAGAUCGCUAGUUCCCCACCUAACCUACAAGCUUGUGUGUGCUUUUCAAAAUAAAUACAGGUGAUGCAUGAGACAAUUCUAUAAAAUGCAUGGAAAAAAUAUUAACAAAAAGAUAAAAAUGCAAAAACUUAAACACAUCAAAUACACAAAGCUUAGUCCAAUAAUGUCAGAAACAAUACCUUCCCCAGUGGAGUCGCCAUUCUGUCGCACCCCAAAAAAAAUCAGCGCGCGGCAUCGGCUGGCGAUUUUUCGUCUCGUUGCGUUUGCUUGAAUUUGGUUCGUUGGAGUCGCCACCUAGUAAUUGAUUGCGGGCUACUAGGAAACCGGAUGUACUGGUCUUGUCAGAGAUUCGCGGGUAAGGGACUGGUUGUGGUUAGGGAAGGUAUUAGCACCCCUAACGCACCCUACCUGAGGUAAGCUGCUUCGCGAAUUUGAUGUGUUAAAGAAGUUUUAAUAAUUGUCUUUUCAUCGGAAAUUAGAAAUAUCACUUACGUAUAAGUUAAUAAUUCUUAACCGUGAUCCGAUCAAAAUAUUAAAUUCUUCUUUAAUAUAUUUGCACUUUCAUCCUAAAAAAUAAAUAAAUAAAAUAAAAAAUUCAUACAAAAAAUACAAACACACACAUACACUUUCACUGUAUUUCUUUUCUUUUCUUUUCUUUUCCCUUUUUUUUUGUUACAUCCAUAAUACAAAAUACAAAUACAAAUUCAAAACAAUAAAUAAAAAUUACAGUACAUAAUUUGAAAUUCACAAAAAAAAGUCCCUAAACUUCUAGAAAUUACAGGGAAGGACUUUCUGACGACGCAGCAACACUGGCGGCGCGUGGGUUCACGUGCCGCCGGAAAAAAACAGCAGCAGAGGGCUUGAUCGACUUCUUCUUCUCAGCCUCCCAACGCCGGCGACGACCUGCAAAGAACCCAAAAACAACACAGGCAAUUGAUUUUAAUUUGUUUGUUUCAUUUCUUAGAUCUGUUUUUUUUGUUUUGCAGGUCUGUUCUCUUCCUUUGCUGGUUGCAGAUCCGGUGAUGGUCGGCUGCGGGGCAGUUCUGGAGGUGGGUCUGUGGGAGUGUCGCUGGCUGGAGACGGCAGACGGGUCUGGCGGUGGCUGGCUUCGAGCCGUUGUUUUGGCCGCUGCUAUUGGUCGGAUGCAGAAGAUGAAGAGCUGGGGUUGUUGCCGACCGGAGGAGAUGACGAAGAGGAUGGUUCUGUCUUGGCUAUCGGCCGGCGAGGAAGAUCGCGGGUCUGCGGGGAGAAGCUGCCGUUGAGAUGGGUCGGGCAGGAGGCGGAGGAACGACUCUGUUGGAGGUGGAAGGUGGGCGUGAGCAGUCCUUAGUUCUCCUGGGAAAAUGGCGAUGGGAGGGGCUGCUGUGUUUGUAUUGGCUGAGAGGGAGGGGAGCGUGGAGGAGGCCGGUCAGUUGUCGUUUGAAGAGAAGGGUUGUCUUGGCUGCGGUUCUCUGUGAGGGGAGAAGAAUGGGAAGAGAGAUGACCGGCGAGAUGGGGCUACAGGGAACCAAAAUGAAAGCCACCGGAGAGGGGGGGCUGCUGCUUGGCCAGGAAAAAAAUGAACAGGGUAGGGGCGGCUGUGUUUGUGGGUUUUUUAGGGUUUAGGGUUUUUUGUAUUUUCUGAUGUUUUCCAAAUUCGCCCCCCCCAUUGUGUGAGUUAAAGACCAGUAUUUAUAGGCAAAAAUAUUGCCAAGUUUUUCAACUUGGUCCCUCAACUUCUUUCUUUUUGUAAAUUUUGAUUUUUCUUAUUUUUUUAUAUUUUUGAAAACGAGCAAUAUCAAUGUCGACUCAACGAGGAAAAUCAAUGUUUUUUUUUUUUUAAAUGACGCGUGAAAAGUCGAACGCGUUUGAAAUUUUUUUUUAAAAUUUAAAUUCUUUUUUUUUAGACGACGUUGAAAAUGCUAAAAGGAUGAAAAUAUAUUAAAAAAACAUAUUUUUUGGAUUUUCAUUGUUUUUCUCUAUUUUUGGAUUUUUUUGAAAAUAUAUCAAAAACAUGGGUCAAAAAUUGGGUAGUAACAGUGUUUAAGAAGAUGUCAUGUGGAAAAAACCAAAAACCAAAAACCAAAAACAAUUUACUAUUUUUUUAAUUGUUUUGUUUGAAUAUAUUUGUUUUUAUGUUUUAAGAGUAUUUUAAAAAAAAAUUAAUUUUUUUUUCUUGCUUGAAAUUGGUUUUUUCUUUGUACUUUUAGAUUAUUUUAAUGUACCAAUAUCAAAAAUAAUUGUUUUUAAAUUAAAAAUAUUAUUGUAAUAUAUUUUUAAAUAUAAAAAAUAUUUUAACAAAUAAUCUCUACCACACUAUUAAAUAUCAUGGAAUUGUGCGUGCCCCAUACUUUUGGGGAAAGACUUUUCAAGUCUUCAAUGUGUUUAAGAAGAUGUCAUGUGAAAAAAACCAAAAACCAAAAACCAUUUAUUAUUUUUUUAAUAUGAUAUUUUUGUUUUUGUGUUUUAAAAGUAUUUUAAAAAAAUUAAAAAAACUUUCUUAGCUUUAAAUUAGUUUUUUCAUUGUGCUUUUAGAUCAUUUUAAUGUACCAAUAUCAAAAAUAAGUUUUUUUAAAAUUAAAAAUAUUAUUUUAAUAUAUUUCUAAAUAAAAAAAUAUAUAAUCUCUACCAUACUAUUAAAUAUCAUGGAAUUGUGCAUGCCCCAUACUUUUGAACAAAGACUUUUCAAGUCUUCAAUGUGUUUAAGAAGAUGUCAUGUGGAAAAAAACCAAAAACCAAAAAGCAUUUACUAGUUUUUAAAUUUUUUUAUUUGGAUAUAUUUGUUUUUGUGUUUUAAAAGUAUUUUUUUAAAAAGUAUUUUUUUCUAUGCUUUAAAUUAUUUUUUUCUUUGUGCUUUUAGAUUAUUUUAAUGUACCAAUAUCAAAAUUAAUUUUUAAAAAUAAAAAAAUUAUUUAAAUAUAUUUCUAAAUAAAAAAAAAAUUAACAAAUAAUCUCUACCACACUAUUAAAUAUCAUGGAAUUGUGCGUGCCCCAUACUUUUGGGCAAAGACUUUUCAAGUCUUCAAUGUGUUUAAGAAGAUGUCAUGUGGAAAAAACCAAAAACCAAAAACAAUUUACUAUUUUUUUAAUUGUUUUGUUUGAAUAUAUUUGUUUUUAUGUUUUAAGAGUAUUUUAAAAAAAAUUAAUUUUUUUUCUUUGGUUGAAAUUGGUUUUUUCUUUGUGCUUUUAGAUUAUUUUAAUGUACCAAUAUCAAAAAUAAUUUUUUUUAAAUUAAAAAUAUUAUUGUAAUAUAUUUCUAAAUAUAAAAAAUAUUUUAACAAAUAAUCUCUACCACACUAUUAAAUAUCAUGGAAUUGUGGGUGCCCCAUACUUUUGGGCAAAGACUUUUCAAGUCUUUAAUGUGUUUUAGAAGGUGUAAUGUGGAAAAAACCAAAAACCAAAACCAAAAACAAUUUACUAUUUUUUAAUUGUUUUAUUUGAAUAUAUUUGUUUUUAUGUUUUAAGAGUAUUUUAAAAAAAAAUUAAUUUUUUUUCUUUGCUUGAAAUUGGUUUUUUCUUUGUGCUUUUAGAUUAUUUUAAUGUACCAAUAUCAAAAAUAAUUUUUUUAAAAAAUAAAAAAAUUAUUUAAAUAUAUUUCUAAAUAAAUUUUUUUUUUAACAAAUAAUCUCUACCACACUAUUAAAUAUCAUAGAAUUGUGCGUGCCCCAUACUUUUGGGCAAAGACUUUUCAAGUCUUCAAUGUGUUUAAGAAGAUGUCAUCUGGAAAAAACCAAAAACCAAAAACCAUUUACUAUUUUUUUAAUAUGAUAUUUUUGUUUUUGUGUUUUAAAAAUAUUUGAAAAAAAAUUAAAAAAAAUUUCUUAGCUUUAAAUUAGUUUUUUCUUUGUGCUUUUAGAUCAUUUUAAUGUAUCAAUAUCAAAAAUAAGUUUUUUUUAAAAUUAAAAAUAUUAUUUUAAUAUAUUUCUAAAUAAACAAAUAUAUAAUCUCUACCACACUAUUAAAUAUCAUGGAAUUGUGCAUGCCCCAUACUUUUGAACAAAGACUUUUCAAGUCUUCAAUGUGUUUAAGAAGAUGUCACGUGGAAAAAACCAAAAACCAAAAAGCAUUUACUAGUUUUUUAAUUUUUUAAUUUGGAUAUAUUUGUUUUUGUGUUUUAAAAGUAUUUUUAAAAAAAAUAUUUUUUUUCUUUGCUUUAAAUUAGUUUUUUCUUUGUGCUUUUAGAUUAUUUUAAUGUACCAAUAUCAAAAAUAAUUUUUUAAAAAAAUAAAAAAAUUAUUUUAAUGUACCACACUAUUAAAUAUCAUGGAAUUGUGCGUGCCCCAUACUUUUGGGCAAAGACUUUUCAAGUCUUCAAUGUGUUUAAGAAGAUGUCAUGUGGAAAAAACCAAAAACCAAAAACAAUUUACUAUUUUUUUAAUUGUUUUGUUUGAAUAUAUUUGUUUUUAUGUUUCAAGAGUAUUUUAAAAAAAAUUAAUUUUUUUUUCUUGCUUGAAAUUGGUUUUUUCUUUGUACUUUUAGAUUAUUUUAAUGUACCAAUAUCAAAAAUAAUUGUUUUUAAAUUAAAAAUAUUAUUGUAAUAUAUUUUUAAAUAUAAAAAAUAUUUUAACAAAUAAUCUCUACCACACUAUUAAAUAUCAUGGAAUUGUGCGUGCCCCAUACUUUUGGGCAAAGACUUUUCAAGUCUUCAUUGUGUUUAAGAAGAUGUCAUGUGGAAAAAACCAAAAACAAUUUAUUAUUUUUUUAAUUGUUUUAUUUGAAUAUAUUUGUUUUUAUGUUUUAAGAGUAUUUAAAAAAAAAUUAAUUUUUUUUCUUUGCUUGAAAUUGGUUUUUUCUUUGUGCUUUUAGAUUAUUUUAAUGUACCAAUAUCAAAAAUAAUUUUUUAAAAAAAUAAAAAAAUUAUUUAAAUAUAUUUCUAAAUAAAUUUUUUUUUUAACAAAUAAUCUCUACCACACUAUUAAAUAUCAUAGAAUUGUGCGUGCCCCAUACUUUUGGGCAAAGACUUUUCAAGUCUUCAAUGUGUUUAAGAAGAUGUCAUCUGGAAAAAACCAAAAACCAUUUACUAUUUUUUUAAUAUGAUAUUUUUGUUUUUGUGUUUUAAAAAUAUUUGAAAAAAAAUUAAAAAUUUUUUUUGCUUUAAAUUAUUUUUUUUAUCUUUAUGCUUUUUGACCAUUUUAAUGUACUAAUAUCAAAAAUAAUUUUUUAAAAUUUAAAAAAUAUUAUUUUAAUAUUUUUCUAUUAAAAAAAUAUUUUAACAAAUAAUCUCUACUACAAUGUUAAAUAUCAUGGAAUUGUGGGUGCCCCAUACUUUUGGGCAAAUAUUUUUCAAGUCUUCAAUGUGUUUAAGAUGAUGUCAUGUGGAAGAAACCAAAAACCAUUUACUAUUUUUUUAAUUUUUUAUUUGGAUAUAUUUGUUUUUGUGUUUUAAAAGUAUUUUAAAAAAAAUUUCCUUGCUUUGAAUUAUUUGUUUUCUUUGUGCUUUUAGAUUAAUUUUUACCAUCUUGGAAUGUAUUGUACAUGCCCCAUACUUUUAGACAAAGAUUUUUCAAGUCAUAUGUACGUUGAAGAAGAUGCCAUGUGAAAUAAAUAAUUUCAACUAUUUACUGUUUUUUCUAAAUUUCUUUUUUAUUUAAAUAUAUUUGUUUUUGUGUUACUUGUGUGUGCCCCUUGCUUCUGGAAAAAGACUUCCAAGUCAUAUUAUGUUUUAAGAAAAUAUCUUCUGAAAGGAAAUUAUUAAGAGCUUCAAGUCUUCGUCAAAGUUAUCAAUACCCCACACGUUUUCCCAUUCCUUCAUUUGAUAGACAUUCUCUCCCGCAUCAACUUAUGGUCUGGGGAGAGACAUUAUAGCAAGUUCAAAAUUGUUUUUUUAUUUUUGUUUAAUUUAAAAAUAUAAUUUAAUUUAUAAUAUUUUAAUUUUUUCUAUUUAAUUAGUUUAUAAAUUAUAAAUAAUUUGGUCCAACCCUAUGAUAGAGCACGGGAUACACGUCUACUAACCUUGUAGGCAAAAACCAUCUACUAUUUCUCUAAAAUUUCUUUGGACAUUUACUAUAAUGGGUGCCCAUUACUAUUUAGCAAAGACUUUUCAAGUUAUUAAUAUGUUUAAGAAAAUACCUCGUGGAAAAAUUUAUUUCAAUGGUUCAGAUACCUUAUUUAUCUUAUUAUGAUCUUCCAUUUCACUAGGAAGAGCACUAUAAACAGGCAAUAUGAUCAAUUCAGGAACAUUUUUUCAUAAUCCUUUCAUCCUCUCACAAAGAGACUGACAUGCAAAAUCAAUCUCCUCCUGCCCUGUCAAUAAUAGAAGUAUGUCACCUUCAAGUUCUGUCAAGUGGAUUUGCAAGAUAGUAAUCAGAGAUACAUCUAAGUAGUCACUUUUUGGCUGUUUAGUCAAUUUGUCUCAGCUUCCUAGUCAUUUCCACUGACUUCUAUGAAGUGCAUAAAUUCCUGCAUGUAAAUUCAGAGCUUCAAGUCUUGCUCAGUGCACAUGGGCUGGGCUCGACCCAGCCCAGCCCAGCCGGUCACUGGCCCAAGCCAGUGACCAGGCUGGGCUGAGCAACACGCGUGCGCUAACGCACGCGUGUUGCUUCAGUGUGCAAGUGAAUUAAAAUUCACUUGCAUACAGCCAAUGCUAAUUAAAUUCAGAAAUGACGAGAAGCAAAGGUUUGCUUACCUGGUGCUGGAGACCGAAGACGCUUGCAGUGCUGAUGGAUCCUCGCCUAUGGUUUCCCUUUAUCUUCCUUCUGUGCUCACUUUGUCAGCGUUUCCUCUUCGUUUCUCUCAGCAACUUUUGAAACCAAGAAGAUGAUGGAGAGGCUGGCUUGCUGUGAAUUGGUUGUUGAUUCUAGGUUUUUCUGCAGGGACAAAAACAAAUGGCAAAAACCGAUACCCCCCUCUGUGUUGCUCCUUGCUUUUUAUUCUUUUUCGGUUUUUCUUUGUUUUGUUUUGGUCCGUGCUCUCUAUUUUUGUUCCUCUGUUUCUCUGUUUCCCCUGGUUCUGUUUCUUCCUCCCCGUUUCCCUGGUUUUUUUUCGAGUCUGGGUUUUAGCUUCUCCUUCUCUUUCGGUUCUGCUCCCCCGGUUUUGUGAUUCCUCCUUUGGUUUUUUUAGCAGUUUUUCCUCCGGUCUCUCCCUGGUUUUUUGUGUCUGGGUUUAGCUUCCCCUAGGUAUUUUUUCUGCCCUCGAUUUCUUCGUUGUUCCUCUGUUUUAUAGAGUCUGAUCGGUGGUAACGGACGGCAUGUAGAGGGACGGCAACAUUAAAACGUCCAUAACUGAGGUGAGCGGAUGAUUACUGCCUAUAACUGCUGGAAACGGUCUCGGGUUAAAGAAGAAGAAGAUGAACAGUGCUAUUUCAAAACGACACCGUUUUGAAGAUAACAGUGGCCAUUUUCACUUUGACUCGCAAAGUUUCGAAACUUUUAUAAUUAAGCCCCUGAUUUAAACUGUAAUUGGCCCCCUGCAUUUGCAUGCCAUUUUCAAUGUAGCCCUUGGAUUUUAAUUUUGCAAUUUUGACCCCAAACUUUCAUAUUUCUUCAAUUAAUUCCCUGCUUUAAUUAAUUUAAUUAAAUCCAAGUCCAAUUAAGCCUCAAAACUUAUCGAUUCUCCAAUUAAACCCUUAAUUGGAUCAAUUAAAUUACUUUCAAGCUUAAUUAAGUCUCAAAACUUAUCAAUUCUCCAAUUAAAUCCUUAAUUGGAUAAAUUAAAUUAAUUCCAAGCUUAAUUAAGUCUCAAAACUUAUCAAUUCUCCAAUUAGAUCUUUAAUUGGAUUAAUUAAAUUAAUUUCAAGCUUAAUUAGAUUAAUUCCAAAGUUUAAUUAAACCCCAAAACUUCCAAUCAUUCUGUCAUCAACCCAAAUUUUAAUUCAUUCUUCAUUUAUUUCAUUUUACUUAUUUUUCAUCAUCAUUUUUUUUUUAUCAUUUUCAGUAAAUAAAAUAAUAAUAAUUAAAAUAAAAUGAUCAAAAAUUUGGUUAUGACAUGUCUUAUGUAAAGCAGAAAGUUCCUCAUCCAUAGCUUGCUGCCAAAACGGAUUAAGAAUUGCCUCUUUAUAGGAAGAUGGCCCAAAGUGACAAUGAAUAGAAGCUAAAAAAGAAGUAAAUGAUGAAGAAUAACAAGAAUAAGCAAAAUGUGGUAGUUUUGUGGACUUAUGAAUGUGAAUGGACUAAAGUGGAGGUGGAUCCACAAUCUCAGAUGAAGCUUGAGGGGCAGUAGAUGAGAAUGGAGCUUCAGGUGUGCUAGAGAGUAAAGUACGAGUACCUAUAGAGUUAUGAGUACAAAUUAAUGGAACAUGUGGAGAGGUAUCAUUAUCAGAAUCCUUAAAAAAGGGAUCUAUACAAAUAAGAUUAGAUUUAGUUAGGCUACAAGUAGUGGAUGGAAUAAAAAAGAAAUGUAUAUGCUCAAGGAAGACAACAUGACAAGACACAUAUAUUUUCUGAGUUAUUGGAUCAAAACAACGAUACCCCUUUUUACCUUCACUAUAACCCAGAAAGACACAAAUAGUGGAUUGAGAGGAUAGCUUAUUGCGUUCUACAUGAGGAUGAAGAACGAAACAAGUACAACCAAAGACUCUAAAUGAGGAAUAAUCAAGGACAUACCCAUAUAACUUUUCAAAAGGAGAUGGACCCGAACUAUGAGAAGAUGAAAUUGUAUUAAUCAAACUUACAUUAGUAAGAACAUCUUCUCCCCAAAACUUACUAGGAACAAAAGCAGACAACAAAAGAGAACAAGUAGUUUUGACAACACCAUUUUGCUUAGGAGUAUCUAUACAUGAAGUUUGGUGGAUGGUUCCAUCUAAGGCAAGCAAUUGGCAAAAUUUAUUAGAGGUGUAUUCCCCACCUAAAUCACACCUAAAGCAUUUGAUCACAACACAAUGUUGAGUUUUGAUAAGAGCUUGAAAAGCUGCAAAUAUCUCAAAGAAUUCAGAAUGAUGUUUCAUUAAAUAAACCCAACAAUAACGAGUAUGAUCAUCAAUAAAAUAGACAUAAUAUCAAGACAUUUCUUUUGUGGCAACAGGACAAGGUCCCCACACAUAAGAAUGAAUCAAAUCAAAUAGUGAAAAAGAAACAGAAAUACUUCGAUUAAAAGGUAAAGCGAAAAAUUUUGCUAGUUUACAUCCACUACAAUCAGAAAUGUCACAAGUUUUCAAAUUUUUUAAAGCUCCUAUGGAUGCCAAAAAUCUCAAACGAGAAGACGAAACAUGACCUAGAUGGGAAUGCCAUAAAUAAAAACUAGAAGAUGAAAGACUCAAACGAAAGGAAGACAAAUCAAUAGUAUUAGUAGCAGUAGCGGCAGCAGCAACUGACAUUUUUAACUCAUCCAAAAUAUAUAGUCCAUUCUCCUUACGACUUGUCCCAAUCAGCUUCUGAGACUGCAUUUCAAGCGGGAACUUUUUUUUUGGCGUUCAAUUUCUAUCUGUAAAACCAUCAGUAAUUUUUUUUUUACCGAUCGUGUUAGCGACAGAAUUAGGUAUUACCGAUGAAAGGAAAGCCGACAUACUGUUUUCGUCGGUAAUUUUAUUACCAAUGAACUAUGAAUCACAUACCGACGAAAUAUAUCUAUUGGUAAAACUGUGAAAUCUUGUAGUGAGAGAAUAAGAUUAUGAAUUGUAUUAUUUUGAAAAAGAAUAAGAUUAUGAAUUUAGAAUUCAUAUUCACAACAUCUUUCGCUCAUUAAAUUAUAUGUUAUAUGUGUGUUUAUUGUGAAUAGCCUCCACCUACAUCAAGUCCUGACAGCUUUUUUUUAUAAUAAUUGAGAGAUUUUAAUAUUUUAUUGAUAUAGCUAGAUUACCAUUGAAAGCUAGCUAUUGAAAACUAAAGUGAAGGGGUACAAAGGUGAUUCAAAGAAGAAAAGAAUAGAGUAAAAUCCAAAACUUAUACAUAAACCAUUACUUAGCAACUGAAAUGUGAACAAAAUAUUAAUUUUUGAGCUAAAAUGUAAAAACCAUAAAAAAGGAUAAAAGUUGCAAAAAAAAAAAACUUGAGGGACCAAAAUACUUCAAAACACGCCUAAGCUACAAUGAAAAAAAGAAAAAGGAAAGGAGGCCACCUUCAAUACCGUAUCAAAUGGCAUGAUUUUCCACGUACAGUAGUCUCUGAAAUUUUAUUUACUCUAGUGAUUAUAUCUAUAGGCUUGAAUUAACAUCAAUUUCAAUACCGGCUUGCUUGAUUUAAUGCCAAUAGUCUUCAAUAUAAAAAGAAAGGAAAAGAAAUGUGAAUAACCAUAUUACCUUGCAAUCCUUCUAAGCGAGAACGUGCUCUUGCAGCCUCUGAAAUUCUCGUUGAAUUCGUGCCUUGCGCACUGCUACCUUCACAUGAACGGGUUUUUUUGCUUCAUAUGAACGGGUUCGGACUCAGGAUUGUUGGGGUUCUAACAGAAACUAGUAUCAGGUUUCGAACACAGCAGAAUCCAUUUAACUAAAUCUGGCUUACCACAUGAAUCGUGGCAGCAUUUGAGUACUCUUAAAAUAAAUAAAUAAAUAAAUAAUUUAAUCAAUUCUUAAAUAACCAAGUAUUCUAAUUUGAAUAUCUGAAAUCAACAUAUAUUUUAGUUUUCUUAGUUUCUUUUAAUUAUUAAGUAUCAACUCUAAUUUUUCACAAUAUAUUUUUUUUCUCGGCUGACAUCCACCGAGAUGCAACAGUAACUAUUGGUAGUUACUCUUAAAAUAAUAAAAUAAAUAAAUAAUUUAAUCAAUUCUUAAAUAAUUAGUCGAGUCUCCACUAUGCCUAUUCGUUUCUAGUUGUGUAUAUUAUAUCUUGCAUAAUAUCCAAUUGUUCAAUGUAUCAUUCUAUCAAGUUUUCUAAUCAAACUGAUAUAAUUAUCUAUAUUGAAAACAAAACCAAGUCACGAGGGACGUUUUUAGGGUUACCAUGUAUAUGUGUGUGCAAAGACACGUGCACACACACACACACACACACACACACAUAUAUAUAUAUAUAUAUAUAUAUAUAUAUAUAUAUAUAUAUAUACAUGUUUUUAAUUUAUUCUUAGGAGAAAUAAAUUUAUGAAUUGUACCAAAAUAUUUGUUAUUAAUAUAAAUUUUAAUGUUUAAAAAACAAUCCUGAGGCCCUAUCUAUUCUUUACUGCAAGAUGAGUAAAAAACAUUUCAAUUGAACUUUUUUCAUGAAACAAAACCAUAACAUUUCACACCAAAAGCAAUGUUUUUGAUCAUCCAAAGCGGCCAACUAACAAAUAUUUAUGUUUUAUUUUUCAACAACUUUCUCUAAAAACUGAAAUGUAAAUAAAAAUAAUAAUUUUUUGAAGUAAAAUGUAAAAGCCUGGGCAAAAAUGGAUAAAAGUUGCAAAAAUUAGAACUUGAGGGCCAAAAUACUUCAAACCACACCUUACCUACAAUGGAAAAAAAAAACAGAGACUGGAUUUUUGUUUUAGAGUCAAUUUUGGUAUCCAUCAACUUAAUUUUAGAAUUUUCUUUCUUUGACAUUAUCAUAAACUCAUACAAAUUAAGUUAAGCAAAAUAAAUUAUUAAAUCAAAUCCCAAAAAAACUCGAUAUGAAAAAGAUGAAAAUGAAAAACAAAUUAAGUGACUGACUAGAACAAAGAAGAAAGCAAUAUGUGAACGCACCAUUGUUCUUCUCACAGUGUACCUUUUGAACUAAUCUUCGAAGAAAUUUCUCUGAAAUUUUAUUUCCUCCGGUGAUUAUAUGUAUAGGCUUGAAUUAACAUCAAUUUCAAUACCUGCUUGCUUGAUUUAAUGCCAAUAAUUCAACAAAAGCAGAUAAAUGAAAAUGUAAAUUACAUGUGUUUUUAAUCAAAUUCUGUAGCACAAUAAGCAAGUACUGGCAUAAAACCAGCAGCUGUACAAAGAGUUCUCCAGUGGAACCUUAUUUCUGUUAGUUAAUGAAUUUUCUGUAGAGCUUUUAAUUACAGAACAAAGAAUAGAGAACAAAGAGCAGAAACACACGGGGGUGAGGUUACUGCCAUCCCUCUAGUUUUAUUUAUAGAAGAAAUCAAACACUACAGAAGACGAGAAUAUAUAUAUAACUAACUCGACUUAUCCAAGAUAAGUUUAAAUUCUACAGAUUCAAACAAGAUUAAGAUAAAUAAUUUGAAAAGAAACGUUGCAGAAUAAACUCCAGCUUUGGUGCCACCACUUCAACAACCUCAACAAUUUCAAACUAGUAGCAGUAGACGAUGAUGAAGUUGCCAAGGUAAAGGACGAUGUAGCUCCAGCAAACAAUACGAACUCAUUGGACAAAGAGGACCUGUUAUGCACCCAGCUGCACCUCCUGGUAUAAAAUGGAGGGGGGGAACCAGAAAGCGCGAAAACGAACCAUUAGUCUUCAAUAUAAAAAGAAAGGAAAAGAUAUGUGAAUAACCAUAUUACCUUGCAAUCCUUCUAAGCAACAACGUGCUCUCGCAGCCUCUGAAAUUCUCGUUGAAUUCGUGCCUUGCGCAGUGCUACCUUCACAUAGAGCCAGUCCCAUGAUUCAUCCAAGAACCGGAAAUAGGCAUGUCUCCAGGAACGUUUUAGCAGUAAAGCACUUGAAACUCCCCAAAAGAAUACACUAAAACCAAUUCCCAUAGCAGUACAAAACCAUUUCAUGAAUUCAUCAGCGACGACAUCUUUGCUUCGGUUGUCAUCAUUAGCAGGUGGACUUUGAUUCGUCUCAUCUCCAGGGCAUUUCUGUAAGAGUGGCUGCCCGCACAAUGCAAGGUUACCGGUAAAUUGUGAAGCAUCAAAGCCUUGCAGCUGAGUGCUUGACGGAAUCCUCCCCGACAAGUGAUUGUUGGAGAGGUUCAGGUAAGAUAGAAAAGUUAGAUCAGCCAUUGUGAUAGGAAUCACUCCUGAUAAUUGGUUUCCUGACAAAUCAAGUGAUUCCAACUGUUUCAACUGCCCAAUCUUUUGAGGGAUUUCUCCACUCAAAUUAUUUCUGGAUAAAUUCAGUGCAACCAACAGUAAGAGUCCUGUUAUUUCUUCUGGAAUUUCCCCUUGUAAUUUAUUUCCUGAAAAAUCAAUGAUCCUCAAAAGUCCUAGUGUGCUUCGAUAAACAUCCGCUCUUCCUUUCCAUCCAACCCUGAUCUCAUUCAUAUAUUCAACACAGCUUCCUCGUUCCCUCGCGUAAUUCUCAGACUUGGAAAGGAUCUCGUAAGGGAUGGUAAGGUAAGUUGUACUGAAAACAGCAAUAUUUGCAGGGGAAUAUCCUGACUCUGUUUUUUGAACCAUGGAAGUGAGGUUAUUAAGGCACUUUGGAAUGAUUCCUGAGAUAUUGUUUAGAGAUAGGUCCAAGAUCUGAAUAUUUGAUAGGUGACAAAGAUUUGGCGGUAUGCUUCCACUGAAUCCAUUAGAUUGUAGGGAAAGGAUUUUCAGGGAUGGCAUGCUUUCUCCUAUCCAACCUGGUAUUUCUCCUCGCAACUUAUUUGAGCUCAGGUCUAAAAAUACUAGAGAACUACAAUUCCUCAAAGACAAAGGUAAUUCUCCAACAAAGCUAUUAUUAUGCAAACUCAAUGUUUCAAGAUUGAGCAUUGAUCCAAUGGAGCUGGGAAUUUUACCUGAAAAGUUGUUGCUGGCCAAAUUCAG